Molecule: long non-coding RNA, 1362 nt
Filed under: Rattus norvegicus (Norway rat)
Lineage: Eukaryota; Metazoa; Chordata; Mammalia; Rodentia; Muridae
Description: long non-coding RNA NONRATT007954
Source: RNAcentral
AGAACCCAGCAGACCCAGCCCAGCUCCCCGAAGUGGGGCCACUAAGAAGCCACCUCUUGCCCAGAAACCCAGCAUAGCCCCCAGGCCGGACAACCAGGUACCAGGCAUUGGUGCUGGGUUAGGGAGGAGUUUGCCAGCAGUGGAGUGGGGGCUACACUCACUCAGUGGUACAUAUGCUUCUAUCUCCUCUACUGAGCCCCUCAUCUUUGAUCCCUGCAGCUCGACAAGAAGGAUGGUGUCUACCCAGCUCAACUUGUGAACUACUAGGCCCCCUAAGGUGUUCAGCAGUUUGGCUGGGGGCUAUGCCUGGGCUUCAUGUGGCUGUCUGGCAGCGGUCAAGGGGCCUCUGAAAGGCCUCCAACUCCUGCACCUGGAGCCCAAAGCAGUGUCCCUAAGGCCCCAGCCUUCACCUGCCCAAGGGGCCUGGUCUCUGUGGGACAGUUCACGUGGAUGUGACUCUAUUUAUCUCUAGUAGGAACUGCCCAGAGCAGCUGGGACCCAGCAGGCCUGAGCCACAAAUCUGCAGCGGACAUCUGAGAUGGCUUGAACGCUGCGAGUUCUUUCUUUCCUUGUAAGUUUAGUCAGCACACUGGGAAAAGGCCACAAGCCAGGGCCUCCUUGCCUCUGGACUCAAAAGUCUGAGACCACAAGUGAACAACAGAAAGAGGGUCCCUGCUGGCUAUCGGGGAUAAGGGGAUGACCUGUGACCCCUGAGCCAGGGAGAGCAGGUAGGCUGGCUGGGGUCAUCAUCUGGGGGCCUGGUGCUAGGGCACCCAUGCUGGGAGCCCCAGGAGAGCAGGCUUUGUGUGGGUGCCAUGGCUGUGGGCAACCCCUGCUCAGGUGCUGUCUCUAGCCUUGAAGACCUGGAAGCCGCCCUCACCCUUGCUGUUUCCAUCCUUCUGGCUACUAGUGUGGCAGUCCACUGCCCACCUCGAUGGCCGAUUCAGCCCUCCUAAAGCUGGGGCCUUCCAGCCAGUUAGAAGCUAGGAAAAAAGCAGAUGUCACAGCCCAUGUUUCUGGAGGCUCAGGAAUUCCUGCUGCAGAGGCCCAGGCUCGGAGGCCCAGGCUCGGAGGCCUGGCCUGGCCUGGCCUGCCCUGCUCCUGACACUUUGAAUAAAUUUGUGUUUCUAGAGCCCGAGGGGGAGUUGUUGGGGGUGGGGAUAUCUAGGCCACCAAUAAAGCCAGCAGCUGGUCUGGGACAAGUGCCCAGCUUCCUCCAGCUGCCUGCCCUGAGCCCUGGGUGGCUACCAACCAUGGGGCAAGGUCCGGGCGUCGGGAGGGAGCCAACUCCUUUGCCCUGGGCCUAGUAUUCCUGUUGAGUCCUGUUGGCAAUAAACCCUGACUGUUGUUACCAGUGCCCUA